UACAGAGGGUGCAAGCGUUGCUCGGAUUUACUGGGCGUAAAGCGUACGCAGACGGUGAGAAAGGUCGGAUGUGAAAGCCCCGGGCUCAACCCGGGAACUGCAUCCGAAACCAUCUCGCUAGAGUAUGAGAGAGGGAAGCAGAAUUCCCGGUGUAGUGGUGAAAUGCGUAGAUAUCGGGAGGAACACCAGUGGCGAAGGCGACUACCUGGCCUGUUCUUGACGCUGAGGCGCGAAAGCUAGGGGAGCAAACGGG
This 253-nucleotide ribosomal RNA is filed under the name uncultured bacterium. RNAcentral describes it as "partial 16S ribosomal RNA". It matches the Rfam family "Bacterial small subunit ribosomal RNA", at positions 524 to 776 of the family's 1533-position model. The record is from RNAcentral.